RNAcentral lists this transfer RNA (72 nucleotides) under Gaeumannomyces tritici R3-111a-1. RNAcentral's name for it is "tRNA-Arg (TCG) (tRNA-Arg-TCG-2-1, tRNA-Arg-TCG-2-2)". It matches the Rfam family "tRNA". Rfam says of the family: Transfer RNA (tRNA) molecules are approximately 80 nucleotides in length. Their secondary structure includes four short double-helical elements and three loops (D, anti-codon, and T loops). The record is from RNAcentral. RNAcentral also lists the same sequence under 1 other name. Lineage: Eukaryota; Fungi; Ascomycota; Sordariomycetes; Magnaporthales; Magnaporthaceae.
GGCCUGGUGGCGAAAUGGUAUCGCGUCAGAUUUCGGCUCUGAAGGUUGCGGGUUCGAGCCCCGUCUGGGUCG